AUCUCCUCAGGGGUCUAAGGGGAAGUGACCGUGGUGGUGCAGCCUGGUUUCACCGACCAUUGCAGACACACCUUGGUGGUCCUGGGCACAGCCGGUGCCUCCUCACACCCUUCUUUCCCAGCAGUGCUGUAUGCCACCCUACAAAAUGCCCGUACCGUAGACCUCUGCUAUGAAGAGUGGGGCUCCUUCUCCCUUAGCCCCAGCAAUAUCCAAAAAUGCACACAGAAAAAAAAAAAAAAAAAAAGGCAGAGCUGCUGAAACACAUGUUCAGAUACCCAUGCAGAUACACGGGUUGUGUGAAUGACAAUGCCCUGCAUCAGCCGUUCCUCCUCCUCCCCAGGAGCCUGGACGCCACCAAUCCCAGCGUUUCCUCUCGUGGCAUGAGUUUUAAUUGCUGCCAGCAGGAGUGGCUUCAUCCUGCCAGGGCUUUGAGAGGACGCUCAUAUACAGGAAUCCCUCAAACGAGAAAACCUGAUUCCCCCAGUGGGCAAAUGUUUGCUGCGAGGAGUCAGAGGUCAGCACAAAAUUUCUGUCCAGCUUCUAGCUGGAGGUCUCGGGAGCGACAGAAACUGGCCCAGCAAUGCAUAUUAAUCUUUUGAUGGUGGUUGAAUGCUGUUAUCUUGUGGGAGAUUCUUUACACAUUGUGGCUGGAGCCAAGCUGCCUCAAGCACAAACUUGACACAGGACUUUUCAUCCAAGAUCGGACUCUCGGUUGGGGUAGUGACAUAAUAAUCAGUAACAUUUUUGUAUAAGGCUCCCAUAUCUAAUCCCAGAUUAUGUUUCAGAUAAAAGCACGCAUGUGGUGCCGCAGUUGCAGGCUGAUCGCUGUGUACACACGUUGUGCUUACUGGGCACACAGAUUUUACAGGCAUGCCCAGAACACCCAGGUCUGGCUGAGCACAUGAAGGCUGACCGCAGAAGUUGUGAAGCUUUCAGGACUUUUGAAUCCAUUGGAGGUAUGAAAAAAAGAAAAGUGCAUCUAUACACGUCUUGGUCUCCACUCAGGAUUCCUGGAUACUGACAGUGCAUUCUGAGAUACUGAGAUAUUUAUGCUGGGUUACACACUCUUUGAAUAGACUACCAGACACCCACAAAUGCUGGAAGAAAAAUAUAUUUUUGUUUUGUUUUGUUUUGUUUUGUUUUGUUUGUUUGUUUGUUUGUUUUUGGAUUGGACAAAAUUUCUGUCUGGGAAAAAGGAGACUUGUUAAGGAAUCCCGGUUCUAGAGACACUUUCUAGAUCCUGAGGUCUCUAAAAUUUAUGAAAUGGUACGCUUAUUUAGCUCAUCUCCAGCUCCUCUUCUCAUCUCUGAACAGGACUGAACUACACACUGCUAGUCAGCAGGGCUAGUGUAUGAAGAGAGACAAAUGCUGCAAAAUGAUAUGCUUUGUCUACAAGGUGAUUUUAGUGCAUGGACUCCACCUGCUUUGAGAUCUUGUAAACCAGCAGCAGGAAAACUGGAGCUGGCUUGCUCGGUUUUAAAUUUAUUUAAAAUGAAUUAAACUCUGUUUAAUUAACCUGCUCCUCAUUUCUGAUGGGUGUCUAGAUAUUUUUACUGACUCUGAUGUGCUCCUCAUCAUUUAUGUGUUCUUGCUGUUGGCCAGCAGCUGUCAUCACCAGCGAUGCUACAUAUUCACAACAGAGUGCUCACUGAGAGGGGAUCAGUGGGGUCUUGAGGAGAUUGGAAUAUGUCCCCAUGACUUACACAUGACUUGUGUGCUGGCUGAAAGUCACGUUAAAUACAGAGAAAUAUGUUUGUGCUACAGAGUGCACAGAAAGGAUGCGCUUUCCGUCACUGUUUGCCUUGCACGCCUGCAUUUUUAACCAAAAUACAUCAGCAAGAAAGUCUCGGAAAUAUCCUUCAACAAAUAUGAUUAGAAUUGGUGUGGAGAAACAGUACCAGCUGCAGUGAAUGGACAUUUGGGAGCAGCGUCAGGUCUGCCAUGGUAGCUCUAACACUGGAGCAACUUGGCGCUCGGAGAAACACGAAUGGUCCUGGCAGAGGCACCCCGGAGCUGCUGGAGGACCCUUGUAAAGACAGGUCUGCCUUCACUGCCCUGUGGUGCCAGACAGCAGCUCUGCUGUGGAGAGAAGCCCCUGGGUUGUAAUUCCUGGGUUUCUAACUCCAGAGUGACAGAGCUGCGGUUUGGGCUAGUUCAGGAGCACCUACCUCAGCUUUUGCUUCAGUUGUUGUGCCUCUCAGGGCUGCCUCCUUUCAGUUUCAGGGAAAGGGAGAAAAGAAAUCGGCCAGAAGCUGGCUGCUUCAUUCAGAACUGCACAGUGUGAAUUGCAGCAGGAGUAAUCUCAUCCGACUGAAACAAAACUCCCUCCCCUAAUCUUGAUGGUCUCUUGUCAGCAAGUGCGAACACAUAGAAAAACUGAACAUUGCUACCAUUAUUUGCACCUAUUGUUCUAUAAAUGACAGAUUCGGAGGAACGUGACUUUAAAAAAAAUAAAAUAAAAGAGAAGGAAACA
This 2473-nucleotide long non-coding RNA is filed under the name Anas platyrhynchos platyrhynchos (common mallard). RNAcentral describes it as "lncRNA (ENSAPLG00000017574.1)". Lineage: Eukaryota; Metazoa; Chordata; Aves; Anseriformes; Anatidae. The record is from RNAcentral.